Molecule: long non-coding RNA, 485 nt
Filed under: Mytilus galloprovincialis (Mediterranean mussel)
Lineage: Eukaryota; Metazoa; Mollusca; Bivalvia; Mytilida; Mytilidae
Source: RNAcentral
AAUACCUAUUCUGAUUUUAAUAUAGUGAUGUGUUUACACAGUCUCGUGUACAGACUGCAAAUUGUAAACAAUCGACUUUAUCCAAACUUUACACUCGACCCGUUUCGUAGCAUUGCUCUAAUGCAGUGAAAAAUCCGGUCAGCUGAGCGUGAAAAAAGAAAUAAACAUCCGUUUAAAUAUAUAUCUUUUUAAAAACGUAGCACUCACGUAACAUGUCCGAUUUUGACAGCUAAAUUCUGCCUUUCCUCGGACCCGAUUUAAUGUUUGAAAAUGGCGGCUAAACAAAGGUCAUUUUCUAUGUCGUCGUAUUUCCAGACUCGUAAGCUGUAAAAAUGACGAAAACGUGCAUAUCAGAAACUUGGCAGAAGCGCUGUAUUCUGAUUUACAUUAAAUUAAUCGUAUAUCGAUAUUCCGAAAACAAAUAAUGUCUUUUAUAAAACAUAAGGAUUUUCAACAGUAAACUGUUAAAAAUCCUUGCCGACGAG